Gavialis gangeticus (Gharial) is the source of this 91-nucleotide long non-coding RNA. RefSeq lists it as uncharacterized. The record is from RefSeq and is a predicted model, not a curated record. NCBI's taxonomy places the organism in Eukaryota, Metazoa, Chordata, Crocodylia, Gavialidae. The transcript is spliced from 4 exons.
GAUUUGCUCCCAACAGUGUACAUGUGUAGAUGUGCUCCCCAGGAAGGCUUACUGUGCCGUAUUUUAAUGCACAUUAAUCCUAAAAUGCAUU